GCUUAGGUGACUAGGUGACCGACUCCUCAGUGAAAAGAAUGGAUGGCUGGGAAGAGGAGAGAGAGAGGAGAAAGAAAGGAGGAACUGUAAGCAUUGCAGCUCAUACGGAAAGAUAUCCUGGCAGUCUAGAAUCAAGAAAUACCACAGUCUCCGUAACCCCACUUCUUGGCUGAGGCGCGCCAACCAACCCACGCUGGCCUUCCUCAAAAGUCGAUCAUCAUUAAGGCAAACUAUUGAAAAUAGCUCCAUGUGGACCAAGUCACACCCAGCUUCCUGCUCCAACUGAAGCAGCUGGCCCUCUGCCCGACACUGUAGGCAUUCAAUCCACAUUGGUUUAAUUGAUUGAACAGAUUCAAUUUCCUAGCAGGACACUCUGAAACAUUCCAGGGAUGUAAUUUUCCUUCUGGGAAACAAGAAGCCAAACGUUAAUUGAGCCUGGAGCUACCUUCUCAUGUCUGGCUGGGCUCAAUGCUCCAUGUCUGUGCACCUGUUACCUCCUUGUUGCUAUGACAGACUGUCUCACAAAAGAAACCGAAAGAAGGAAUCGCGUUGCCCAUAGUCCAUCAUGGCAGAGAAGAAAGAGUGGUUUGAGUGGCUUGUGUGAUCUGUGGCAAUCAGAGCUUGCAGCAAACUUUCCAUGAGAAGCCAGGAAGCAUGUGCAGAGGGUUGGUCCCAUGCAGGUUCCCUGGCUGUCAGUCCAGACUCUGUGAGUGCCUAUGAGCCCAGCAGCAGUUCAUGUCCAAUGUGCGGAUACAAUCUGCUACCACUGUCCUUCCUCUGAGUUUCUAGAAAGGGAAGUUGGAUUCAUGCAGGAUGAAGGCACAAUUCUGUCAAAUUUGCCUAAUGAGCCGCGCACAGAAAGAGAACUGGAAAACCUCAUUUCAAGAAAAGGAAACACCAGUGUGUGCCCAGGGAUUGACAAUGAGGGUCAGAUAACAAUGAAAUCUGGUCAUCGACUUGGAGGAUAAAAGCCACCCAUUGACCUGGAAUGAUAAUAUAAUAGGGGACGUCUGAGGCAAGUCAAUUCCUGACAGCCUGCACUAAGGAGGGACUCAGGGGUGAAAUGAUGGUUAUCGUGAGAAAAUGAUCAUUGACAUCUUUACUGUGUCCCUCCCCCAGCCACCAGGAAGAGCCCAAAAUAUCACCCAGCAGAGUUUCAAUAUCCAAACAAAUAUGGAUUUGCAACGUCAACUCUGAACCGUGGGAAGCCAAUUCCUUUGAAAGUUACUUUAUCCCAGGCUGGACAGAUGUUGGUUCCACAGUUAGAGAGCUGCAUGGAUGCUGCAGAGGGUGUGAGUUCCCUUUCCAGCACCUCGUAGGUUGGCUCAAGACUGUCUGUCAUGCAAGCUUCUGGUAGCACCAUGCCUUUGAUCCCAGCGUUCAUUCAAGAGACAGAGGAAGGAGGAUCUCUGUGAGUUCUAGGCUAGCCUGGUCUAUAUAUAGUGAAUUCCAGGCCAGCCAGGGCUACCCAGGAGACCCAGGAGAAAAGAGAAAGAGGGCACACAGAAAAAGGUGGAUGUUCUCUGAUUUGAAGAAGAAUCCACAUGAGCACUCUUUGCCUGGGUCGGCGAGCUUUGGGUAGUCCUCACUUAAAAACACGCCAUCUAUCUGCCUGUCAAUUACUGUGUGCUGGGCUGUUCUCACAUGUGCGGAGACAAAGGCAGCAAAUGAGAUGAGCCUCCUGCUUUCCCAGGGCUUAUUUCUAGAGGAAGGAGACAGCCAGGAAGCAAACAAAAAAUAAAGGCAAUAUCAGAGAAGGCUUCAAAGCUCUAUCCUCAAUAGUUCCCAUUUACCAGCAUCUGAGAGGGUAGAAUGGUUGUAUGGAGCCAAAUGCUCAUUCCAUCCAGCCCAUUCUAGACAACUUUGAUGCUUUCCUUCCCAUCCAUUCAUUUGAUCCCCCUAGGCAAGAACCCCUAGGCCUCCUUCUCUUUGCAAUACUCCAGCCAGGAUUGUGAAAGGACACUCAUGUUCCGGCAGCCACCAGAAUUAGGACAAGGGUCAGAGCCCCAUGGCUGACCUAAAUGGGUACACGCCAAGAAACAAAUCGCGCUUUUGAAAGCUCCACUGAGGCCCUUCAUAGAAGAUGGCUGUCACCGAGAUAUGCAGAAAAGGAGAUAUUGCAAGGAGCAGUGGUGUAGGCAGAAGCAAUUUAAAUAGUGAUCAUGGAGGAAAUGACAUUUGAGAGCUCAGCAAUAGAAGACAAGGAUCAACAUCCUGAAAUAGAAAGACAGCAUGAGUGUAGACCCAGGUGGUAACGGAUUGGCUAUGUCCAUGUCCAUGUCUUACAUACAUGUACAUAUAUACGUGCUCACAUGUGUCUAUCACAUGCAUGCACACAUUCACAUUCACAAAAAAGCCACUUCACCAGAGCCUGCCAUGACCCAGCCUCAGACCUUUCAGAGAUCUGACUGUACUCAUCCCCAAAUACCUGGUGGGGCUGGGGUUGGGGGUCAGGUCAGAGCUCCAAAUGCAAAUUGGUUAGUUUUACUCAUGGGAUAGUUUGAGUGGGUACAUACUCUUAAGCCCCGCCCCCCAACACACCCAUAAGUCUCACACUUCUAAGGCUGACCCAGAGCCAAGCCACUUUCUUGGAUCUUUAGUAUCUGCAUGGGAAUAGAUGUCUUUUGAGGAGACCUCAGCCCAGGGUGGAACCUGGUCUGAGCAAUCAGAACCCAGGCAACUAACUCUUCUUGCCAUGGCUUCUGAAUCUUCACAGUGCAGAAUGAGCCUGACUGGGUCUGAGACGUGGGAACAGACCAAGACCUAUCAGUUACAAUUCAGUGUAUAUAAUAAUAUGUAUAAUCUAUGCAUUGUUAUCUAUUGAUCGAUCAAUAUAUAGAUGAUAGUAGAUGAUAGAUAGAUAGAUAGAUAGAUAGAUAGAUAGAUAGAUAGAUAGAUAGAUAGAUAGAUAGAUAGAUAGAUAGAUAGAUGACAGAGUCUCACUAAGUAGCCCUGGCUAGC
Molecule: non-coding RNA, 2961 nt
Organism: Peromyscus maniculatus bairdii (prairie deer mouse)
Lineage: Eukaryota; Metazoa; Chordata; Mammalia; Rodentia; Cricetidae
Source: RefSeq, a predicted model, not a curated record